Molecule: long non-coding RNA, 1883 nt
Filed under: Gadus morhua (Atlantic cod)
Lineage: Eukaryota; Metazoa; Chordata; Actinopteri; Gadiformes; Gadidae
Description: lncRNA (ENSGMOG00000025870.1)
Source: RNAcentral
GGAAAAUCAAAAAUCCAAAGAAAUCCAAAAUUAGACAUCGGAACGAGUCCAAAUUUUACACACAUGUUGGUGCUAACCUUAAUGUCGUUCGACAAAAAUGCGGCGCCAAAAAACGACGACAUUGUCUAUCUCCUAUUUGGCCAAUGGAAUGUUCUGAAAACGCGUUUUAGGCUAUAACUCCCACACCGAAGCUCCCACAUUCAAAACGGAGACAGAAAACGAGAUUUUGCAGCAAUUACAUUUAAGUACAGUUAAUCAGGCUGAAAAUGCCCCCCCUAGCUUACCAGAUCUAGCACUGUGUGGGACAACUUCAGAAUUCGAGAACAGUCCUGACCAAAACACUACAGACAGUGAUGCCAGUGAAAGAGAGGAUUUUAGUGGGUUAUCCAGCUGUGAUGAAAGUGAGCCUGAGGAAAUGAGUUUACAAGCUAAACUAAAGCAAUGGGCAUCAACUUUUGGCAUUACUCUUGUUGCAGUUACCGCUCUUCUAUCAAUAUUGAGAGUACACCACUCUGAGCUGCCUAAAGAUGCCAGGACACUUCUUGGCACACUAAAGAAAAUAGCUGUGCGUGCAUGCAUUAGGUGGUGGUGAAUAUCACCAUUUUGGAUUGGCUAAGGGAAUUUUAUCAAAAUUGAAUUCAAUCCAUUUGCCUAGCUGCCUUCAGACAAUUCGGUUACAAUUCAACAUCGACGGUUUACCCAUUUUUAAGAGUUCAAAAGUUCAGUUUUGGCCAAUUCUUCAAUUUUCUUUCAUUCACCUCAUUGACAGAUGGCACAGGUGUGGAAGGUCGUCGAAUUCAAAGAUAGGAGCACUACCAUAGUGCCAAGCAGCUGGUUGGAGGAGGCAGGGGAGUCAUGGAAUUGUUUCUGGCCUCCUAGUUCUUACGAUCAUAACCGCCUCCAGAAGGCAGUCGCGCACCACCUUCCUCCAGGUGCAGUGUGGGACGUGCACGGUGACGUGAGGGUCUUGGUUAGCUGUUGUAAGGAAAAAUGCGGCAUAUGAAAACGUUUCUAUAAGAUUCAACUUGCUAAAUUUCACUAAUGCAUGCCAUUCACUUUCAGCAACAUAUGUAAAGGCAAAGGACUACCUGAAAAAGUCCUUACUGUGUUUAACAUCAGACAUACAGUCAGAGGCUGAAGACCCUAUCAGAAGGAAAAAAAGGCCAAACUCACGCUACCUGCAGGAGCCAGCUGGAAGAGUCCAGACCACUACGGGCCCGCCGCAACACUUUUUUGAAGGUGUGGACACUGAUGACGAGGCACCACCCCCCCCAAGAAAAACAGCACGACAAUCUGUAGAUGUUGGGCCAGACAUCAAUAGUGAGUGGCUAUUUGGGCCAUCGACCACCCAAAGAGCUCAAUCAAAUGGCAGCCAGAGACUUGAGCUACUACAUCUAGAUACAGUCCAACCAAGCCACCAGCUAUUGCAUGAUAUGGGAAUAUCUAAAGUCGUGGAGCUGCUUUCCAAAGUGCUGGAAGAAAAUAAAUUGAUGAAAGCGGAAAUUACCAACCUGGGGAGUGAAGUGAGGGCGCUUAGGAGAGAGAUGGUGAGGCCGGUAGCACCAGAAGCUGCCGCUUCGUCCAUCAAGCUGCCUCUGAGGACAAUGGAGGAGUUUCAAUUAGCAGAGGCUGUUAUGAGAGAAACCCCCUGCGAAAAACAAAAGAUGAUCUUAACAUUCAGUCUAAUUGGAGGGCACACUGCAGAAGAGGCCGUAAGAAGGAUGUUGCAGAGUGGCCUAACAAAUAACCUGGCGUGUCGCUUCAACUGGGCAGGGAAAGGCUUCAAGGAAGCCUUUAAAAGCACUGUCCUUAGUGAUGUACUGUUCGGUAUGUUUGGCAAAACUCAGUCACACCACACAAGCAUUAGACACAGAUACCACUGA